RNAcentral lists this ribosomal RNA (233 nucleotides) under uncultured fungus. RNAcentral's name for it is "partial 18S ribosomal RNA". It matches the Rfam family "Eukaryotic small subunit ribosomal RNA", at positions 1473 to 1706 of the family's 1831-position model. Lineage: Eukaryota; Fungi. The record is from RNAcentral.
GGGGUAGUUCUGGGCGCACGCGCGCUACACUGAUCAAGUCAACGAGUUUACAACCUUGGCCGGAAGGUCUGGGUAAUCUUUUGAAACUUGAUCGUGCUGGGGAUAGUCCAUUGCAAUUAUUGGACUUCAACGAGGAAUUCCUAGUAAGCGUGAGUCAUCAGCUCGCGUUGAUUACGUCCCUGCCCUUUGUACACACCGCCCGUCGCUACUACCGAUUGAAUGGCUUAGUGAGG